GACGAACGCUGGCGGCGUGCUUAACACAUGCCAGUCGAACGGAAAGGCCCUGCUUUUGUGGGGUGCUCGAGUGGCGAACGGGUGAGUAACACGUGAGUAACCUGCCCUUGACUUUGGGAUAACUUCAGGAAACUGGGGCUAAUACCGGAUAGGAGCUCCUGCUGCAUGGUGGGGGUUGGAAAGUUUCGGCGGUUGGGGAUGGGCUCGCGGCUUAUCAGCUUGUUGGUGGGGUAGUGGCUUACCAAGGCUUUGACGGGUAGCCGGCCUGAGAGGGUGACCGGCCACAUUGGGACUGAGAUACGGCCCAGGCUCCUACGGGAGGCAGCAGUGGGGAAUAUUGCACAAUGGGCGGAAGCCUGAUGCAGCAACGCCGCGUGCGGGAUGACGGCCUUCGGGUUGUAAACCGCUUUCGCCUGUGACGAAGCGUGAGUGACGGUAAUGGGUAAAGAAGCACCGGCUAACUACGUG
RNAcentral lists this ribosomal RNA (468 nucleotides) under uncultured bacterium. Its description in RNAcentral is "partial 16S ribosomal RNA". It matches the Rfam family "Bacterial small subunit ribosomal RNA", at positions 28 to 507 of the family's 1533-position model. The record is from RNAcentral.